Molecule: transfer RNA, 73 nt
Organism: Tetranychus urticae (two-spotted spider mite)
Lineage: Eukaryota; Metazoa; Arthropoda; Arachnida; Trombidiformes; Tetranychidae
Rfam family: tRNA
About the family: Transfer RNA (tRNA) molecules are approximately 80 nucleotides in length. Their secondary structure includes four short double-helical elements and three loops (D, anti-codon, and T loops).
Source: Rfam
GGGGAUGUAGCUCAGAUGGUAGAGCGCUCGCUUAGCAUGCGAGAGGUACCGAGAUCGAUACUCGGCAUCUCCA